This 207-nucleotide ribosomal RNA is filed under the name uncultured bacterium. Its description in RNAcentral is "partial 16S ribosomal RNA". It matches the Rfam family "Bacterial small subunit ribosomal RNA", at positions 568 to 774 of the family's 1533-position model. The record is from RNAcentral.
CACGCAGGUGGCUUGGCAAGUCGGAUGUGAAAGCCCCGGGCUUAACCUGGGAACUGCAUUCGAUACUGCCGAGCUAGAGUAUGGGAGAGGAAAGCGGAAUUCCCGGUGUAGCGGUGAAAUGCGUAGAUAUCGGGAGGAACAUCAGUGGCGAAGGCGGCUUUCUGGCCCAAUACUGACACUCAUGUGCGAAAGCGUGGGGAGCAAACA